AAAUUGAAGAGUUUGAUCAUGGCUCAGAUUGAACGCUGGCGGCAGGCCUAACACAUGCAAGUCGAACGGUAGCACAGAGAGCUUGCUCUCGGGUGACGAGUGGCGGACGGGUGAGUAAUGUCUGGGAAACUGCCCGAUGGAGGGGGAUAACUACUGGAAACGGUAGCUAAUACCGCAUAACGUCGCAAGACCAAAGUGGGGGACCUUCGGGCCUCACACCAUCGGAUGUGCCCAGAUGGGAUUAGCUAGUAGGUGGGGUAACGGCUCACCUAGGCGACGAUCCCUAGCUGGUCUGAGAGGAUGACCAGCCACACUGGAACUGAGACACGGUCCAGACUCCUACGGGAGGCAGCAGUGGGGAAUAUUGCACAAUGGGCGCAAGCCUGAUGCAGCCAUGCCGCGUGUAU
RNAcentral lists this ribosomal RNA (407 nucleotides) under Salmonella enterica subsp. enterica serovar Kentucky. RNAcentral describes it as "bacterial SSU rRNA". It matches the Rfam family "Bacterial small subunit ribosomal RNA", at positions 1 to 406 of the family's 1533-position model. Lineage: Bacteria; Pseudomonadati; Pseudomonadota; Gammaproteobacteria; Enterobacterales; Enterobacteriaceae. The record is from RNAcentral.